NGUCGGUCCCUUCGCAAUGGUAGGNNAUGAACNCCGCCAGGCCCGGAAGGGAGCAACGGUAGUAGCUAAUCCAUGUGCCGGGGUGUGGCUGGCGAGG
This 97-nucleotide signal recognition particle RNA is filed under the name Gammaproteobacteria bacterium. RNAcentral's name for it is "signal recognition particle sRNA small type". It matches the Rfam family "Bacterial small signal recognition particle RNA". From Rfam's summary of the family: The signal recognition particle (SRP) is a universally conserved ribonucleoprotein involved in the co-translational targeting of proteins to membranes. Lineage: Bacteria; Pseudomonadati; Pseudomonadota; Gammaproteobacteria. The record is from RNAcentral.